This is a non-coding RNA of Paramuricea clavata, 73 nucleotides long. The record is from the annotation of a GenBank genome assembly. Lineage: Eukaryota; Metazoa; Cnidaria; Anthozoa; Malacalcyonacea; Plexauridae.
GACCGCGUAGCUCAGUUGGCAGAGCAUUGAACUAGUAUUCCAAAUGUCGCGGGUUCGAUUCUCACCGUGGCCA